Long non-coding RNA from Chenopodium quinoa (quinoa), 619 nucleotides. RefSeq lists it as uncharacterized. The transcript is spliced from 2 exons. Lineage: Eukaryota; Viridiplantae; Streptophyta; Magnoliopsida; Caryophyllales; Amaranthaceae. The record is from RefSeq and is a predicted model, not a curated record.
AUCUAGGGUUUGUUGUUAUCUAAACAAACCCUAGUUAUAUUGUAUGUAUAUAUAUCCCCACUCUAUGGAAUAAAAAUCUGAUCUAUUCUCUCUCCACCUCUCAUAUUUUCUUCUUAUUUUAUUACACAAGCAUCAUAAAUUGACUGAUCUCAAACUACCUCUUGAUUUCACGAACAUCAACCAGAAAAGUAAUUUCCCAAAUCCCUCUGCCGAAACCACCGUUGCUCUGCCGAUACCACCGAUCCUUGUUCUUUGGGCUUGUUUGUACUCGUUCUUGCACUCUAAUUUUAAGCGAAUGCGACAUCCCAUAGUGGGAAGGAGAAAAAGGCUAGAGAUCAUGCCAGCAGUCGUGGUCGAGGCCGUGGGACAUCUGUUUUUGGAUAUUUUUAUGUUUUUGGAUAUUUCAUUAUUAUUAUUAUCAGUCAUUUAUUAAUUUAAGUUAUUUGGUUUAGUGAAUCUUAUUUUAGUUCCUUUAAUUCUAUUAGAAUAUUAAUUUGAGAAUUUUUAGUAUAAAGGUUCAUAUAAUUGGGCAAGAGGAACGAAUAUGAGUCUUAUAAGAAUCAUUUUACUUUGCUUGAUACAUGCAUUUAUAAAAGAAUUUAUGGCUUAAAAGGUGCAA